UUCUUGGAGAGUUUGAUCCUGGCUCAGGACGAACGCUGGCGGCGUGCCUAAUACAUGCAAGUCGAGCGAAAGUUUCAAAAGCUUGCUUUUGAAACUUUAGCGGCGGACGGGUGAGUAACACGUGGGCAACCUGCCUGUAAGACUGGGAUAACUCCGGGAAACCGGGGCUAAUACCGGAUAAUCCUUUUCCCUGCAUAGGGAAAAGCUGAAAGACGGUUUCGGCUGUCACUUACAGAUGGGCCCGCGGCGCAUUAGCUAGUUGGUGGGGUAAUGGCCCACCAAGGCGACGAUGCGUAGCCGACCUGAGAGGGUGAUCGGCCACACUGGGAC
Molecule: ribosomal RNA, 330 nt
Filed under: Neobacillus notoginsengisoli
Lineage: Bacteria; Bacillati; Bacillota; Bacilli; Caryophanales; Bacillaceae
Description: bacterial SSU rRNA
Rfam family: Bacterial small subunit ribosomal RNA
Source: RNAcentral